AUGUGGACUAUCCUGUUGCACCAGCUAAAUGCCGGCUGGCGAAAACAUGGUCGAGCCCCCCUUUGCCGAGCUUCCUCUCGACCGUGUACUCAGGAGAUCUUCCUAUCUGGUCCUGAUAAGAUGAAGGCAGUUACCAUCAAUUUUUGGCUCUCAUUCGAUACAAGAUUGACAGUUUGCCGUAUGUGUUUCACUUCAGCUUGGACAGAUUCUGUUGUCGUACCAGCAGCCUGCACUGCUGCUGAAUAUGCAAACUCUUUCCGUACAGUAUUUACUUCAACCACAUGCUUCAGAUUUCCGUAG
RNAcentral lists this ribosomal RNA (300 nucleotides) under Triticum aestivum (bread wheat). Its description in RNAcentral is "partial small subunit ribosomal RNA". The record is from RNAcentral. Lineage: Eukaryota; Viridiplantae; Streptophyta; Magnoliopsida; Poales; Poaceae.